GUAGUCAUAUGCUUGUCUCAAAGAUUAAGCCAUGCAUGUCUAAGUAUAAGCAACUUGUACUGUGAAACUGCGAAUGGCUCAUUAAAUCAGUUAUCGUUUAUUUGAUAGUACCUUACUACAUGGAUACCUGUGGUAAUUCUAGAGCUAAUACAUGCUAAAAACCCCGACUUCAGGAAGGGGUGUAUUUAUUAGAUAAAAAACCAACGCCCUUCGGGGCUCCUUGGUGAAUCAUAAUAACUUAACGAAUCGCAUGGCCUUGCGCCGGCGAUGGUUCAUUCAAAUUUCUGCCCUAUCAACUUUCGAUGGUAGGAUAGUGGCCUACCAUGGUGGCAACGGGUAACGGGGAAUUAGGGUUCGAUUCCGGAGAGGGAGCCUGAGAAACGGCUACCACAUCCAAGGAAGGCAGCAGGCGCGCAAAUUACCCAAUCCCGAUACGGGGAGGUAGUGACAAUAAAUACUGAUACGGGGCUCUUUUGGGUCUCGUAAUUGGAAUGAGAACAAU
RNAcentral lists this ribosomal RNA (502 nucleotides) under uncultured fungus. Its description in RNAcentral is "SSU rRNA". It matches the Rfam family "Eukaryotic small subunit ribosomal RNA", at positions 20 to 524 of the family's 1831-position model. The record is from RNAcentral. Lineage: Eukaryota; Fungi.